GACGAACGCUGGCGGCGUGCUUAACACAUGCAAGUCGAACGGAAAGGCCCCUUUGGGGGUACUCGAGUGGCGAACGGGUGAGUAACACGUGAGUAACCUGCCCUUGACUUCGGGAUAACUUCAGGAAACUGGGGCUAAUACCGGAUAGGAAUCCUUGCUGCAUGGUGGGGGUUGGAAAGCUUCGGCGGUUUUGGAUGGACUCGCGGCUUAUCAGCUUGUUGGUGGGGUAGUGGCUUACCAAGGCUUUGACGGGUAGCCGGCCUGAGAGGGCGACCGGCCACAGUGGGACUGAGAUACGGCCCAGACUCCUACGGGAGGCAGCAGUGGGGAAUAUUGCACAAUGGGCGGAAGCCGGAUGCAGCAACGCCGCGUGCGGGAUGACGGCCUUCGGGUUGUAAACCGCUUUCAGCAGGGGCGAAGCUUGUGGUGACGGUACCUGCAGAAGAAGCACCGGCUAACUACGUG
Molecule: ribosomal RNA, 465 nt
Filed under: uncultured bacterium
Lineage: Bacteria
Description: partial 16S ribosomal RNA
Rfam family: Bacterial small subunit ribosomal RNA
Source: RNAcentral